CUCACUCAUGCCCUCUCCCUCUAGUGUGGGAAAACAAGAGGAACCUCCAAAAUUUCCUAGCUGCACAAAGAAAUUGGUGGAAAUUCACUUCAUUUUGAAGCUCGGGGUUUCUAUGUGGUUGAUUUAAUCAAAAUAUUAAUGUGAUUUUUCUAGAAGAAGAAAAAGGGAAAAUAUAAAAAUCAUGCUGAUUGGAUUUGAAUAGAUUGUAUUGAUCAUAUAUGAAUAUUAUCUUUCAUCCAGAUUGGAAAGUACUGUUUUGAAAUCCAGUCCUUCACACUUCCAAACUGAUCAUUUUUAAUAAGUAAAUGUCAUUUUGGCUUUUUUUUUUUUUUUCUGGUCAGGAAGAAAAACAAGAAGUUUCCUUCCGCAAACUUCCUAAAAGGUGCCAUGUGUUUUCCUAAAACCAAGGAAAAUUCUAAAAUAGAACUACCAUAUGAUUCAGCAAUCCCACUUCUCUAAAUCUCCAGAAUCUCCAGGGAUUGGAACCAAGUGCUUUAUCUUUACCAUAUACCAAUCCAUGAAUCAACUCCAAAACAGAUCUCUAGAAACAGACAAGACUGACUACUGCCUGAAGGUUUCUGACACCAAGUUCCUGAGAGGAAUACAUUCUCUUCUCCUUUGGCUGCUUAAUCCCUUCUCAUGAAAAAUAACCUUGACCUUUGCAUUCUAGAUGUACCAAAUAUGAAAUAAUUUUAGAAUUCGAUCUCAAAUGGCCCUUUUGCAAACUCCAAAAUGUUGUAAUCUACCAAGACUAAGCAAAUGGCUGCUGAGAAGUUUUGCCAGG
RNAcentral lists this long non-coding RNA (784 nucleotides) under Homo sapiens (human). Its description in RNAcentral is "HSALNT0378448". The record is from RNAcentral. Lineage: Eukaryota; Metazoa; Chordata; Mammalia; Primates; Hominidae.